This 73-nucleotide transfer RNA is filed under the name Capra hircus (goat). It matches the Rfam family "tRNA". Rfam says of the family: Transfer RNA (tRNA) molecules are approximately 80 nucleotides in length. Their secondary structure includes four short double-helical elements and three loops (D, anti-codon, and T loops). Further hydrogen bonds mediate the characteristic L-shaped molecular structure. tRNAs have two regions of fundamental functional importance: the anti-codon, which is responsible for specific mRNA codon recognition, and the 3' end, to which the tRNAs corresponding amino acid is attached (by aminoacyl-tRNA synthetases). tRNAs cope with the degeneracy of the genetic code in two manners: having more than one tRNA (with a specific anti-codon) for a particular amino acid; and 'wobble' base-pairing, i.e. permitting non-standard base-pairing at the 3rd anti-codon position. RNAcentral also lists the same sequence under 1 other name. The record is from Rfam by way of RNAcentral. Lineage: Eukaryota; Metazoa; Chordata; Mammalia; Artiodactyla; Bovidae.
UCCCUGGUGGUCCAGUGGUUAGGACUCUGAACUUUCACUGCUGAGGGCCUGGAUUCAAUCCCUGGUUGGGGAA